This 400-nucleotide ribosomal RNA is filed under the name phytoplankton environmental sample. RNAcentral describes it as "partial small subunit ribosomal RNA". It matches the Rfam family "Eukaryotic small subunit ribosomal RNA", at positions 587 to 982 of the family's 1831-position model. The record is from RNAcentral.
AGCUCCAGUAGCGUAUACUAAAGUUGUUGCAGUUAAAAAGCUCGUAGUUGGAUUUCUAGAGGUUUUAUUGUGGUGCGCAUUCUUCGGAGUGAGGGCACCAACAAUGAAUCUCUUUUUCGCUGCGACCCUGUCCACCAUUAAUUUGGCUUGGGCAGUGUGUCCUUCAGCACUUUUACUUUGAGAAAAACAGUGUGCUCAAAGCAGGCGUUUCGCCUUGAAUGUGUUAGCAUGGGAUAAUAACAAAGACUGCGUGUCUACGUUGUUGGUUAUGGACGUGAAGUAAUGAAUGAUGGGAGCGGUUGGGGGCCUCGGUAUUCUAGAGGGAGAGGUGAAAUUCUUGGAUCUCUGGAAGACCACCUGCUGCGAAAGCGUUGGCCAAAGACGUCUCCGUCAAUCAAGA